GAGUUGGACUAGAUGACCUUUAGAAGGUCCUUUCCAACCCAAACUGUUCUAAGAUAUUUAUCGGAUAUGUUAGGCAAGGCCCAUAAGUGGAGGGGAAUAGGAAGGGAAGGACUGUGAGAAAACUCCCUUUCUCUAAAGUAUCUGCCAGUGCUUUUCAGUCUGCCUUACACCAGUGAAAACAGAAAUAGCUCCUGGAGGUGUGGAAUAGAGACAAGGUCCUGGCCCACAUGAGGGUUCAUGUCUUCCACUCAUAUGAGUGCCUUGGAAAUGCUGUAGUACUGCAAGAGAGGCCCUUCCUGCCUCCAGGGAGAGGAGCUGUGUACCAUGGACACCAACAGUCUCCAGAGGAGGCUCCCCACUGCCUGGAGCAGGAAGGGAGACCUCCUGGUCAAUGGUGACAGUCUUCUUUGUGAUGAUCGUGCGUAUCCAUGCUGUUCUUCCAGUGCUCCCAGGUUUAAUUGGUUCAAGUAGUAGAAAUUACCUUGCCAGAACAGUGCCUUGUUUUCAGAUAUUGCGAGAAGCACACAGAGGAUGCUGCUAACUGUUGCACGCCAUUGGAUAGUGCAUCUAAAUCUGGAAAGCUCAGAACUCGUUGACUGUGAAUCAUUCUUGGCUGUACAAUACCAGCAGGCAUUAUAUUGUCAAAAAAUUAACUUUCCAUCAAAAAGCUUUAAAUGUUGCUUUGGCAUAUACAUCAAGAGAAAGUGUAUAUCAUCUGUCACUGGUGUCCCUUUCCAUUGAGUAGUUCCUGUUCCUCAGAGAUGUCACUGCCAAGUGUUCCUGUGCUGAGUGAAGAGGAUCUCAGUGCCUGGCCAGAGGCCAACUGAUAGGGCAUGAAAGGUGGCACAGCUACCAUGUGUUAGAUGGGUUGCUGCCAGGUUAUGUGUCUGUUUGGCAAAACUGGAAACUUUCUAGGGGGACUUUUAAUAUUUUUGGGAUUAAAUCUAAACUGAUGCACUGAUUGAUGGGGGUUCGUAAAGUGGUGAUUGCUCUGAGUGACAAAAAGCAGGAACUGAUUCUCCACUGGAAACACAAUUCAACCAUACAAAAGCUGUGCUUUAUUCCUGAUGAUGAGUUCCUGGAGAUGAAAGCCAUCCAUCCCUGUUUAGAUGCUGAAAUCUUCGGAUAUUCCCUUUUUGAAAAAGUGUGAGGUAACAGAGGUGUCUGAGCAUGUGCAGAGUGAAAGAAGAACAAAAACAAGAGUGUUUUUUAUAGUGUUUGUUGUUGUUGUUUUCCUAAGGUGUAUUCCGGGCAUAAAUUUUAUACCUUUAUGUUUCUUCUCUGCACAGUGGAGAUAUGCACAGAAACUUGCCAUGGGAAAGGUCAUGCAUUGGAGGAAAAAAGGUCAUGGCAUGGGAAAGCAGGAUACCUAGGAAUGAACUGAUAAAAGUGUCUGCUCCUCAUGGCAAGAGCCAAAGCCCCUGAAAGGACCUACCCUGUCAGGACCUUCUCUAUCCCAGUAGCCCUGGAUGUGUUGAGAGAGCCAGUGGAGUAACCACUGGAGGAGUCACUCUAAGGUCACAUGGCUAAGGUCACUCUGUAGAAGACCAGAUCUAAGCAUGUUUUGUCUCAAAUGUUCUUACUGUUAUGACAGGAAGAUAUGAUUGGAGACAUGGAGGUGGGACACUGCAGUUCUGAGCCAACUUCCUGCUCUGCGGUGAGACUCGUGCUCAGUUCCACCUCCCCACUUUUCCUCCCCUGCUUCCUGGAGAAGGGCUGACUGUGCAGGUGUGAACAAAGUGGUGAAAGUCUAAUUUACAUAAGAGGUGUGCACCAGGUUAACUAUAAAAGGACAUAGAUUGGGCCCCUUCGCUCCCUCUUUUCGUCUCUUCUCUUUCUCCUCUCCUUUCCUCUUUUUCUCUUUAGCUUUCUUUGUCUUGCAACACCAGCUGUGGACCGUCCAUAUGGCAGGACAAAUGUGGGAUCUAAGGACUGGUGAGAUUGUUUGUCUUCUUCCCUUGCUUUGCCUGACUGAAGCACUGCUAUCAUAUUCUUUGUACUCUGUAUGGAACACUGUUUUGGGAGGGGGGAGAUUGUGGAGGUGUGCCGUGGGUUGUGUGCCAGCACCUUUGAGGAGUUUGUGGUGGGAGUUGAGAACUUG
Molecule: long non-coding RNA, 2101 nt
Organism: Pipra filicauda (Wire-tailed manakin)
Lineage: Eukaryota; Metazoa; Chordata; Aves; Passeriformes; Pipridae
Exons: 3
Source: RefSeq, a predicted model, not a curated record